This 1214-nucleotide long non-coding RNA is filed under the name Mytilus galloprovincialis (Mediterranean mussel). The record is from RNAcentral. Lineage: Eukaryota; Metazoa; Mollusca; Bivalvia; Mytilida; Mytilidae.
AGGUUCUUUCUGUGAGAUGUUUUCAUGGUGUGGGAAUAAGACUUGGUGGUCUAAUACAGCUAAUAUAUAGGUAGGUACCAGUAUACAGUUUCGAAAAGAAGAAAGAAAAAAAAAGAUAAAUGUAGUACAUGUAUAAAAAUAAUUAGAUCCAUUUUUUACUUUCCUUGCCUUGAAAUAAUCAAACACUAAAUUUCUGUUAUUUAUUUCUACCCUCUCUUUUGAUAUCAGUACAAAUACAAUGUAUAGUGUAAAUUGAAGGAUCUAACAUGAUUAUUUGGUUUGUUAUGUUGUUGGAUUGCUGUCUAGUCAAUAUGUUCUCAACAUCUAGUACAUGAAUAUAACCCAUUUCUUUUUAAUUUUAAUACAGUAACAAGUGAUCCUUUUAAACCAUUUUAUUAAUAAUAUGACAACAUUUUAUAUUUCAGAUUAGCUUCACAGCUUGUCUGUAAGGAUUGAAGUUGGGAAUGGGCAUUGGAGCUGGCUUUUAUGGUAAGAACCAGUACAUAAAUUAAUGAAUUAUUCAGCAAAGAGCAUGUACAAACCUAGUUCUUCAUUAUGCUAAGAAGUAUUAUACUUUAAUUAUGCAGAGAAGUAGUAUACUUUAAUUUUUCUUAAAACUAUAAUCGUAUAUAUAAUCUGGAAGGAGGACAUUAGGAGGUAUGAAGAUAAAUAAAGGAAAUAAAAAAUUAUACUGUUACUUAGAAAAUCUGUUUUCUAAAAUUGUCCCCAUAUAUAAAGUAAAGAAGAUCAUUGUCAAUGAAAUAACUCUCCCAGAGACCAAAUGACAUGGAUGUAAGCAACUAAUGGUCACUGUAUGGCCUACAACAAUGAGCAAAACAUAUACUUUACAAUUAACUAUGAAACAGAAAGUAGGCGACAUGAAAAAAUGUGAAACAAUUCAAACAAGAAAACCAACAGCUAGAUUUAUGAUGAAACAAUGAAAUAAUAACAAAUAUGUUGGACAACAACCAACUACUUGUCAUCCCUUGUUUGCUAAAGAAGACUGGUUGUUUGUAAAUUCAUGUCAACACAUCACUUUAAAACAAAGUAAAUCAAUUUUCUAUGCAUCAUCAGUGCAAUAACCAGUUACUGAUUCCUUUGCAAUAUUGUUCUGACAGAUAUUAGAAUGCAUAUUUCUUUUUCAGGUGACUUCAACUGUGGCUGCAGGAAAUUAUUGUGCAAUACAACUGAAACAAAAAAGAAUGUAAUUCAGA